GACGAACCGUGCGAACGUUAUUCGGAAUCACUGGGCUUAAAGCGCGUGUAGGCGGGUCGGUGCGUCGGCCGCUGAAAUCCCCCGGCUCAACCGGGGAAGGGGCGCCGAUACGACCGGCCUGGAGCGACGUAGGGGGGACUGGAACUUCCGGUGGAGCGGUGAAAUGCGUUGAGAUCGGAAGGAACGCCCGUGGCGAAAGCGAGUCCCUGGACGUCGGCUGACGCUGAGACGCGAAAGCCAGGGGAGCGAACGGG
This 254-nucleotide ribosomal RNA is filed under the name uncultured bacterium. RNAcentral describes it as "partial 16S ribosomal RNA". It matches the Rfam family "Bacterial small subunit ribosomal RNA", at positions 524 to 776 of the family's 1533-position model. The record is from RNAcentral.